RNAcentral lists this ribosomal RNA (519 nucleotides) under uncultured Bacillus sp. RNAcentral's name for it is "bacterial SSU rRNA". It matches the Rfam family "Bacterial small subunit ribosomal RNA", at positions 9 to 509 of the family's 1533-position model. Lineage: Bacteria; Bacillati; Bacillota; Bacilli; Caryophanales; Bacillaceae. The record is from RNAcentral.
GAGUUUGAUCGUGGCUCAGGAUGAACGCUGGCGGCGUGCCUAAUACAUGCAAGUCGAGCGAACUGAUUAGAAGCUUGCUUCUAUGACGUUAGCGGCGGACGGGUGAGUAACACGUGGGCAACCUGCCUGUAAGACUGGGAUAACUUCGGGAAACCGAAGCUAAUACCGGAUAAGAUCUUCUCCUUCAUGGGAGAUGAUUGAAAGAUGGUUUCGGCUAUCACUUACAGAUGGACCCGCGGUGCAUUAGCUAGUUGGUGAGGUAACGGCUCACCAAGGCAACGAUGCAUAGCCGACCUGAGAGGGUGAUCGGCCACACUGGGACUGAGACACGGCCCAGACUCCUACGGGAGGCAGCAGUAGGGAAUCUUCCGUAAUGGACGAAAGUCUGACGGAGCAACGCCGCGUGAGUGAUGAAGGCUUUCGGGUCGUAAAACUCUGUUGUUAGGGAAGAACAAGUACAAGAGUAACUGCUUGUACCUUGACGGUACCUAACCAGAAAGCCACGGCUAACUACGUGCC